UGCCAGCAGCCGCGGUAAUACGGAGGGGGCUAGCGUUGUUCGGAAUUACUGGGCGUAAAGCGCGCGUAGGCGGCGCAUAUAGUUAGAGGUGAAAGGCCUGGGCUCAACCUGGGAACUGCCUUUAAUACUGAUGUGCUAGAGUCCGAGAGGGGGUGGCGGAAUUCCCAGUGUAGAGGUGAAAUUCGUAGAUAUUGGGAAGAACACCAGUGGCGAAGGCGGCCACCUGGCUCGGAACUGACGCUGAGGUGCGAAAGCGUGGGGAGCAAACAGGAUUAGAUA
Molecule: ribosomal RNA, 279 nt
Filed under: uncultured bacterium
Lineage: Bacteria
Description: partial 16S ribosomal RNA
Rfam family: Bacterial small subunit ribosomal RNA
Source: RNAcentral